Molecule: ribosomal RNA, 253 nt
Filed under: uncultured bacterium
Lineage: Bacteria
Description: partial 16S ribosomal RNA
Rfam family: Bacterial small subunit ribosomal RNA
Source: RNAcentral
UACAGAGGGGGCAAGCGUUGUUCGGAAUUACUGGGCGUAAAGGGCGCGUAGGCGGCCUUCUAAGUCGAACGUGAAAUCCCCGGGCUCAACCCGGGAACUGCGUCCGAUACUGGAAGGCUUGAAUCCGGGAGAGGGAUGUGGAAUUCCAGGUGUAGCGGUGAAAUGCGUAGAUAUCUGGAGGAACACCGGUGGCGAAGGCGACAUCCUGGACCGGUAUUGACACUGAGACGCGAAGGCGUGGGGAGCGAACGGG